This is a long non-coding RNA of Harpia harpyja (harpy eagle), 1984 nucleotides long. RefSeq lists it as uncharacterized. Lineage: Eukaryota; Metazoa; Chordata; Aves; Accipitriformes; Accipitridae. The record is from RefSeq and is a predicted model, not a curated record. The transcript has 2 exons.
AUAAAUAGGUUUUAGAAAAAUUUAUACAGCAAGUUGAACUGGACCUGGCUAAUUCACAAUCACUGCUGUUUGCUAACCAUGACGCAAUCAUGGGUAUAUAUUUUUAGUGCUUCGCUGCAGCCACGAAUGGACAACCUCAUAAUCUGUACCAGAGCAAGGUGGUCAGGGUUACCAAGACCCUUUCUGAUUUUUACAAGGUUUACUGGUUUAUCUAUGUAUCAUACUCUUAUUAUUAAGAAUUGGAUCAGACUUCUCACUGUCAAGGCUCCAUUUUUAUGUCAUGGCACAGCACUGAGUCAGUCUUAGUGAUGCAAGUUAUGUCGAAGCAGCUUUAGUUUUAGCAGCAGGAUUGGCAGAAUUGUGGAAACAAAAUUUAGUUGGUCAUUUGUAUGCUUCUUUCCUUUUUUGUCCUUUUUUUUUUUGUGUGGGGAGAGGAUUGUUUUUAUUGGAACUAUUCCCAUGGGAUAAUAUCCUGGGGAAGAAAGGAUCUAAAGCCAUGAGAAGACAUUGAUUAUCUAAAGAUCUGGAACCACAUGAAACUAUGAAUUCUAAAACUUUAAUUAUGUGGCCUUUGUUGGGGACUAGGAGGUUAUAAUGCUGGCAAGACAACCCCCUAAUACAUGGGGCUUGAAUAUCUGAGAUCCCAGAAUAUCUGGGAGCUAGUAUGUAGUACUUGUGGAGACUGGUAUUUUGCCAUCCAGGCUAUAGUCAAGCUAGCAGGGAACCCGCAGGACUUCCAGUCACAAGCACACAUUUUUCCAAAACCUGCUUUUUGAGGAAAUUAUAUCUAAAUGGAGUACAACUUCUAACAGAGUCUGUUAGCGUACCUCUGGUAACCAUGGGCUGAUGCUGUUGCAAAGUAUAGGUUAUCAUCACUAUAAUUACUGUUGCUGUUGGGGUGGGGCACAAAAAUAAUUCAGAUGGGGUAUAAAUCUCAAUUGCUACAUGUUUGUAAAGUGUAGAAGUGCAGCAAGUUUAGUGUACCUAGAUAUACCAUAUUCUAGGUAAAAUUUUUAUACUGCACCCAUUACUAGCAUCUACAUGUACUGUUUCAUAUCAUUAACUUUAUUUAUGCUUUUCCAUUAAGAACUUAAUCAGGUCAUAUUCAUAAUCCUCUGAAGGCCUGUCCUGGUUUUCUAUUUGCAAGUCUGUAUAAUCACCACCUUUCAAAUCAAGGAUUCAUCUGUCCACACACUAAAUAUCUCAGGGCACUGAGAAAAACAGGUCUGUUCACAGGUAGGUUGUAGAAAUGGAGGGAGUAAAGAUUGUCACUCAGAACUGAGGAAAGAAUAGGGGAAGUUUGGAAAAAGUAUAUAUAAAUGUUAAUUUUUGCUGAAUUAAUCUUGUGCUGACUUUGUGGACAUGAUGUUACUUCGUGCUAGAGCUAAGUGAAAAAUCUGAACACGUCUGAAAAGAAUCUGAGAGCAAUGCAUUGUCCUAGGAACGCUGGGAGGUUUUGCUUGGUAAAGCGCCUGUGAAAUGUUCAUUCCAUGUUAUUUUUGUUUACUGGUGUUUUAAAUGUUGACAAAAUAUGUUGAAAAGUGGAGUUUAAGAGAAUUUCUCCUUGGGCUUUCUUGUUAUGCAGUGUGAUGUCCACUAUCUUUUCUUGGUGCUGUGGUGAUAUCCUGAUUUUAAAAGAUCUUAAUCUUGAGAGCCAGGCUGGACUGCAGCAAAGUCGUAUUCUCUAUGAAUACAGUGCAGAAGGGAGCUUUGAAGAGGUGUGAUCACAGACAGCUGUCUUGGGAUGAUUUGAAAAUUCUCAUUCUGUCUUCUGGAAGACACCAGAGCAGUGUGUGAUGUAUCUCUUACAUCUCUUAACCUGCAGACCCAGAAAUACAGUCUCUCUGCUUUACAGUACUUUGAAAUGAUAGUGAAGCUUUUCGCUUUAGUGUCUCAUCUGAAACAUUUUUUUAAAGAGUUAUUGACGGGAGCUGUGACAUAAAUGAGUGACUAACUAAAAAAAUUAAUAAACCCUUGAAGCUUA